CAAGAGCGUAUGUAAAAGUUGUUGCAGUUAAAAAGCUCGUAGUUGAACCUUGGGUUUGGUUGGCCGGUCCGCUUUUUUGCGAGUACUGGAUUCAACCGAGCCUUUCCUUCUGGCUAACCAGUCGUUUCGGCGGCUGGCGAACCAGGAUUUUUACUUUGAGAAAAUUAGAGUGUUCAAAGAAGGCAUUAGCUUGAAUAUAUUAGCAUGGAAUAAUAGAAUAGGACGUUAUGGUUCUAUUUUGUUGGUUUCUAGGACCAUCGUAAUGAUUAAUAGGGACGGUCGGGGGCAUCAGUAUUCAGUUGUCAGAGGUGAAAUUCUUGGAUUUACUGAAGACUAACUACUGCGAAAGCAUUUGCCAAGGACGUUUUCAUUAA
Molecule: ribosomal RNA, 374 nt
Filed under: uncultured eukaryote
Lineage: Eukaryota
Description: partial 18S ribosomal RNA
Rfam family: Eukaryotic small subunit ribosomal RNA
Source: RNAcentral